This 509-nucleotide ribosomal RNA is filed under the name uncultured bacterium. RNAcentral describes it as "bacterial SSU rRNA". It matches the Rfam family "Bacterial small subunit ribosomal RNA", at positions 28 to 496 of the family's 1533-position model. The record is from RNAcentral.
GACGAACGCUGGCGGCGUGCCUAAUACAUGCAAGUCGAACGCACUCUCGUUUAGAUUGAAGGAGCUUGCUCCUGAUUGAUAAACAUUUGAGUGAGUGGCGGACGGGUGAGUAACACGUGGGUAACCUGCCCUAAAGUGGGGGAUAACAUUUGGAAACAGAUGCUAAUACCGCAUAAAACCUAACACCGCAUGGUGUAGGGUUGAAAGAUGGUUUCGGCUAUCACUUUAGGAUGGACCCGCGGUGCAUUAGUUAGUCGGUGAGGUAAAGGCUCACCAAGACCGUGAUGCAUAGCCGACCUGAGAGGGUAAUCGGCCACACUGGGACUGAGACACGGCCCAGACUCCUACGGGAGGCAGCAGUAGGGAAUCUUCCACAAUGGACGAAAGUCUGAUGGAGCAACGCCGCGUGAGUGAAGAAGGUUUUCGGAUCGUAAAACUCUGUUGUUGGAGAAGAAUGUAUCUGAUAGUAACUGAUCAGGUAGUGACGGUAUCCGACCAGAAAGCCACGG